Molecule: long non-coding RNA, 338 nt
Filed under: Rhinopithecus bieti (black snub-nosed monkey)
Lineage: Eukaryota; Metazoa; Chordata; Mammalia; Primates; Cercopithecidae
Description: lncRNA (ENSRBIG00000045670.1)
Source: RNAcentral
UCACAAGGACUUUUGAUGGGCAGUAAGUGCCCUGGUGACAUAGGGUCACAUCCUGUUACUCGAGCAGGCAGGUCCUGGGUAGAUCCCAGGGAGGUGGGUUGGUAAAGGAUAAAGAGCUCCUGGGUGGUCAGCAGCUGGCUGCAGUUCCCCAGGAAACAGCUUCUGGCAGACACUCAAUCUCCAGUUGUAACAGGUGGUGUGGAGUCCGCUGGCCCAGAAAGUGGGCUGAAGGCCUAGUCCUGCCAAUGAACUUGCUGUAUAAACUUUUCUGUCUAUCAAAUGAGGCAUCUUGGAGGGAGGCCAUCACCUCAGAGGUGGAGAAAUGUCAAGCUAGUUGA